UAAGACGUAGGGGGCGAGCGUUGUCCGGAGUUACUGGGCGUAAAGGGCGCGUAGGCGGUUCUGCAAGUCGGUUGUGAAAACAUCAGGGCUUAACCCGAUGCUUGCAUCCGAUACUGCAGAACUUGAGGAAUGGAGAGGAAGCUAGAAUUACUGGUGUAGCGGUGAAAUGCGUUGAUAUCAGUAGGAAUACCGGUGGCGAAGGCGGGCUUCUGGCCAUUAUCUGACGCUGAGGCGCGAAAGCUGGGGGAGCAAACAGGAUUAGAUACCCUGGUAGUCCCAGCCCUAAACGAUGGAUACUAGGUGUUGGUGGUAUCGACCCCACCAGUGCCGCAGCUAACGCAUUAAGUAUCCCGCCUGGGGAGUACGGCCGCAAGGUUG
RNAcentral lists this ribosomal RNA (378 nucleotides) under uncultured bacterium. RNAcentral's name for it is "bacterial SSU rRNA". It matches the Rfam family "Bacterial small subunit ribosomal RNA", at positions 521 to 896 of the family's 1533-position model. The record is from RNAcentral.